ACGAACGCUGGCGGCAUGCCUAAUACAUGCAAGUCGAACGAUCCCUUCGGGGAUAGUGGCGCACGGGUGCGUAACGCGUGGGAAUCUGCCCUUGGGUUCGGAAUAACUUCGGGAAACUGAAGCUAAUACCGGAUGAUGACGAAAGUCCAAAGAUUUAUCGCCCAGGGAUGAGCCCGCGUAGGAUUAGCUAGUUGGUGGGGUAAAGGCUCACCAAGGCAACGAUCCUUAGCUGGUCUGAGAGGAUGAUCAGCCACACUAGGACUGAGACACGGCCCAGACUCCUACGGGAGGCAGCAGUAGGGAAUAUUGGACAAUGGGCGCAAGCCUGAUCCAGCAAUGCCGCGUGAGUGAUGAAGGCCUUAGGGUUGUAAAGCUCUUUUACCCGAGAUGAUAAUGACAGUAUCGGGAGAAUAAGCUCCGGCUAACUCCGU
RNAcentral lists this ribosomal RNA (431 nucleotides) under uncultured bacterium. RNAcentral's name for it is "bacterial SSU rRNA". It matches the Rfam family "Bacterial small subunit ribosomal RNA", at positions 29 to 506 of the family's 1533-position model. The record is from RNAcentral.